UGAUUUCCAGUAAGUUGUCUUUAUUUCAGACAGAAAGUUAAAGCAAUUGCUUGCUUGUAUGGCUGACGUUGUCUUAGAAUCUUCAUAAAAGAAGUUUUGAGCAUCAUUUGGACCAGCAGAAUUGUUUGUGCCCACUGCAGAUUUAAGUAUCAUAUGCAGCUGCAUAGUAUUAUUGUUGUAAGGCUGGCCAUCUAUUUUGCGUGUGCUUAUAUUCUUUUCUUUUUUUCCACUUA
Non-coding RNA from Prunus avium (sweet cherry), 233 nucleotides. Lineage: Eukaryota; Viridiplantae; Streptophyta; Magnoliopsida; Rosales; Rosaceae. The record is from RefSeq and is a predicted model, not a curated record.